RNAcentral lists this ribosomal RNA (16 nucleotides) under Dactylogyrus vistulae. RNAcentral's name for it is "partial 5.8S ribosomal RNA". Lineage: Eukaryota; Metazoa; Platyhelminthes; Monogenea; Dactylogyridea; Dactylogyridae. The record is from RNAcentral.
CAACUAUAUACAACUG